GCUUGGUUUAUGGUUGUUGCUGGCGAAAGUCGGCUCGACUGAAAUACACGAGCAACCCAUUUGAAACUAGACGGUUUGACUCGGCGUAAUAAUUAUUUCGCUGAGGACGUCUUAUAUUCAAUUUAUUAGUGGUGCUUCUAAUGCAAAUCAUAACAUAAGCUUUAGACCUCAAAUCAGAUAGGACUACCCGCUGAACUUAA
This 200-nucleotide unclassified non-coding RNA is filed under the name soil metagenome. Its description in RNAcentral is "partial contains internal transcribed spacer 2 and large subunit ribosomal RNA". The record is from RNAcentral.